RNAcentral lists this unclassified non-coding RNA (304 nucleotides) under Hevea brasiliensis (rubber tree). Lineage: Eukaryota; Viridiplantae; Streptophyta; Magnoliopsida; Malpighiales; Euphorbiaceae. The record is from RNAcentral.
AAAUAUAUAAAAUUUAAGUAAAUUUUAUUGAGCUGCAUAACUUAAAAUUUAAGUGGAUUUUGUUAUAUGUGUAUCGUGCCAUAGGUCGGGUCCAUGAUUCCAGAGGCGGGAUGGGUGCUGUCUGCUAAAGGCAAAACAACAUAGAUCUAAUUAAAGGAUAUGGAUGGGUUUGGGUAUGAUAGAUCUUUCAGUAUAUGGUGGGCUGUCAAUUAUGCGAUGAAAUCAUGCGUGCGAAGUUGGACACAUGCCAGCUGGGAUGAGUUUUCCCACAUUUGUGUUAAAUUAAUUACUAUCAUCACUUUUG